AACGCGAAGAACCUUACCUAGACUUGACAUCCCGGGCAAAGAUAUAGAAAUAUAUUGGAGGUUAUCCCGGUGACAGGUGGUGCAUGGUUGUCGUCAGCUCGUGUCGUGAGAUGUUCGGUUAAGUCCGCUAACGAGCGCAACCCUUGUCAUUAGUUGCUAACAAGUUGAGUUGAGCACUCUAAUGAGACUGCCGAUGAUAAAUCGGAGGAAGGUGGGGAUGACGUCAAAUCAUCAUGCCCCUUACGUCUAGGGCAACAGGCGUGCUAUAAUGGCUGGUACAAAGAGAAGCGAACUCGUGAGGGGGAGCAAAACUGAAAAAGCCAGUCUCAGUUCGGACUGGAGUCUGCAACCCGACUCCACGAAGCUGGAUUCGCUAGUAAUCGCGCAUCAGCCAUGGCGCGGUGAAUACGUUCCCGGGUCUUGUACACACGC
Molecule: ribosomal RNA, 432 nt
Filed under: uncultured Holdemania sp.
Lineage: Bacteria; Bacillati; Bacillota; Erysipelotrichia; Erysipelotrichales; Erysipelotrichaceae
Description: bacterial SSU rRNA
Rfam family: Bacterial small subunit ribosomal RNA
Source: RNAcentral